Molecule: ribosomal RNA, 497 nt
Filed under: uncultured bacterium
Lineage: Bacteria
Description: partial 16S ribosomal RNA
Rfam family: Bacterial small subunit ribosomal RNA
Source: RNAcentral
GAUGAACGCUGGCGGCGUGCCUAAUACAUGCAAGUCGAGCGAACAGACGAGGAGCUUGCUCCUCUGACGUUAGCGGCGGACGGGUGAGUAACACGUGGAUAACCUACCUAUAAGACUGGGAUAACUUCGGGAAACCGGAGCUAAUACCGGAUAAUAUAUUGAACCGCAUGGUUCAAUAGUGAAAGACGGUUUUGCUGUCACUUAUAGAUGGAUCCGCGCCGCAUUAGCUAGUUGGUAAGGUAACGGCUUACCAAGGCAACGAUGCGUAGCCGACCUGAGAGGGGGGUUCGCCCCACUUGAACCGAGACCCGGUCCAGGACCCCACGGGAGGGCGCAGUAGGGAAUCCUUCGGAAUGGGGGGAAAGCUGGCCGAGGCAAGGCGGGGGAGUUGAGGAGGGUCUCCGGUUCGUAAACCCCGUUAUUAGGGAAAAAACAAUGUGUAAGUAACUAUGCACGUCUUGACGGUACCUAAUCAGAAAGCCACGGCUAACUACGUG